RNAcentral lists this long non-coding RNA (1660 nucleotides) under Gadus morhua (Atlantic cod). RNAcentral's name for it is "lncRNA (ENSGMOG00000032432.1)". The record is from RNAcentral. Lineage: Eukaryota; Metazoa; Chordata; Actinopteri; Gadiformes; Gadidae.
GCUGCCGCUCUCGACCUCGCUGCAACAAGCUGCAGUUGAGCCGUCUACGCAGGACCUGAGCUACGCGUCCCUACAGGCCUUUGCCCUCAUGUCCAGGGAAUUGGGGCGUGUUAUGUCCACCCUGGUCCAGACUCGCCGCCAGGUUUGGUUGGCUCAGUCGCCCCUGACGGAGGCGUGCAGGAAGGCCCUCAGAGCCGUGCCAGUGGUACCGGGGGAGCUGUUUGGGUCAGCUUCCCUGGAGACGCUGGAGCGAGCUGCCCAAGCUAGGCAAACCAACCUGCAGCUGUCGGGUCUUCACAGGAGUGUGUCCGCUCCUGGCAGGCCUAGAGCCCCCCCGGCUGCCCCCCGGGGCCGCUACCAGCCACCACGCUCUUACCCAGCGAGAGAUGAGGGCCUACGCAGGUCUCGGCGGCCCGCCCAGCAGCCCGCUGAUAGCUUUCGCGCCCCCGCCCGCCCAUCGCCUGGGCAGCCUCGGGCCGCGGAGCCUCACCGGUACCCCUCCAGAGCCGACAGAGGCCGGGGGGCCAGGCGCUAGGACCACGGGGCCGGUCGUCGGCUGUUUUUCCCAGCAGCAGAUCAGUUACUGGGCUGCCUGUACUAUAGACCCCUGGGUGGUUUCCACCUUAACCCGGGGGUACGAAUUACAGUUCCGACGCCGGCCCCAGGCCUUCGGCCGGGUCAGGAUGACAGUCGUCCGCGACCCGACGAAGGCCGCAGCUCUGGCCCAGGAGCUAUCCGCCCUCCUGGCCAAGGGUGCGAUCGAGCCAGUGGACCCUCAGUUACAACCCGGGGGGUUCUACUCUGCGUACUUUCUGGUAACCAAGAAAGACGGCGGAUUCAGGCCCAUUCUAGACCUAAGGGGCCUGAACACGUUUACCAUUCCACAUGCUCACCUCGGCGGACACCCUGAGGGUAGUUGCCAGGGGGGAGUGGUUCACGACCAUAGACCUGAAGGACGCCUAUUUUCAUGUGCCGGUUGCGGCACACCACAGGCGGUUCCUGAGGUUUGCCUAUCGGGGCAGGCAUUACCAGUUCAGGGUACUUCCCUUCGGGCUUUCCCUCUCCCCGAGGGUUUUCACCAGGGUUGUGGCGGCAGCCCUCGCACCCCUCCAGACGCAGGGCAUGAAGGUCCUGCCGUAUCUGGACGACUGGCUGGUCUGUGCGCCCUCCAGGUCCCAGGUGGCUCAGGACACGGCCCGCCUGCUGUCGCACGUCGCCCGGCUGGGCUUGAUGGUGAACCAAUCAAAGAGUUGCCUGGACCCUUCCCAACGGGUUACCUAUCUGGGGCUGCUUUUUAUUCAGUUUCUUCAGCUUCUGGGCAAGCUGUCAGCUGCUUCAGCUGUGGUGCCUCUGGGCUUACUGUCCCUGCGCCCACUCCAAAUGUGGCUGAACAGCCUGCACCUAGAUGCCAAGUGGCACAGGCAGAGGAGGGUCGAGGUGAUCCUGCAGUGUCUUGUCUCUCUGGCUCCAUGGAGAAAGAGAGCGUAUCUGGAGGCAGGCGUGCCCAUGGGCGCAAUCCCGGCACGCCGGGAGUUGGUGACAACCGACGCCUGCCUCUCGGGAUGGGGCGCAGUGUGGCAGGGCAGGACUGCGCAGGGACAGUGGUCUGGCCGGGACGUGGCACAACACAUCAAUUUGCUGGAACUCCGGGCUGUGCAGC